RNAcentral lists this non-coding RNA (60 nucleotides) under Priestia koreensis. RNAcentral describes it as "Bacillus koreensis Fluoride sequence". It matches the Rfam family "Fluoride riboswitch aptamer (crcB RNA motif)". The record is from Rfam by way of RNAcentral. Lineage: Bacteria; Bacillati; Bacillota; Bacilli; Caryophanales; Bacillaceae.
AAUACAUACAGCGAUGGAGUUCGCUAUAAGUGCCUUCGGGCUGAUGACUCCUACUCAUUC